AUUGAACGCUGGCGGCAUGCCUUACACAUGCAAGUCGAACGGUAACAGGUCUUCGGAUGCUGACGAGUGGCGAACGGGUGAGUAAUACAUCGGAACGUGCCCGAUCGUGGGGGAUAACGGAGCGAAAGCUUUGCUAAUACCGCAUACGAUCUACGGAUGAAAGCAGGGGACCGCAAGGCCUUGCGCGGACGGAGCGGCCGAUGGCAGAUUAGGUAGUUGGUGGGAUAAAAGCUUACCAAGCCGACGAUCUGUAGCUGGUCUGAGAGGACGACCAGCCACACUGGGACUGAGACACGGCCCAGACUCCUACGGGAGGCAGCAGUGGGGAAUUUUGGACAAUGGGCGCAAGCCUGAUCCAGCCAUGCCGCGUGCGGGAAGAAGGCCUUCGGGUUGUAAACCGCUUUUGUCAGGGAAGAAAUCCUUUGAGUUAAUACCUCGGGGGGAUGACGGUACCUGAAGAAUAAGCACCGGCUAACUACGUG
Molecule: ribosomal RNA, 482 nt
Filed under: uncultured bacterium
Lineage: Bacteria
Description: bacterial SSU rRNA
Rfam family: Bacterial small subunit ribosomal RNA
Source: RNAcentral